CACGAAGUUAGCCGGGGCUUAUUCUUCCGGUACCGUCAUUAUCGUCCCGGACAAAAGAGCUUUACAACCCUAAGGCCUUCAUCACUCACGCGGCAUGGCUGGAUCAGGCUUGCGCCCAUUGUCCAAUAUUCCCCACUGCUGCCUCCCGUAGGAGUCUGGGCCGUGUCUCAGCCCCAGUGUGGCUGAUCAUCCUCUCAGACCAGCUACUGAUCGUCGCCUUGGUAGGCCAUUACCCCACCAACUAGCUAAUCAGACGCGGGCCGAUCCUUCGGCAGCAAGCCUUUCCCCAAAAGGGCGUAUCCGGUAUUAGCGCUAGUUUCCCAGCGUUAUUCCGAACCAAAGGGUACGUUCCCACGUGUUACUCACCCGUCUGCCGCUGACCCCGAAGGGCCCGCUCGACUUGCAUGUGUUAAGCCUGCCGCCAGCGUUCGCUCUGAGCCAGGAUCAAACUCU
Molecule: ribosomal RNA, 453 nt
Filed under: uncultured Methylobacterium sp.
Lineage: Bacteria; Pseudomonadati; Pseudomonadota; Alphaproteobacteria; Hyphomicrobiales; Methylobacteriaceae
Description: partial 16S ribosomal RNA
Source: RNAcentral